AUACGGAGGAUGCGAGCGUUAUCCGGAUUUAUUGGGUUUAAAGGGAGCGUAGGUGGGAUAUUAAGUCAGCUGUGAAAGUUUGGGGCUCAACCUUAAAAUUGCAGUUGAUACUGGUUUCCUUGAGUACGGUACAGGUGGGCGGAAUUCGUGGUGUAGCGGUGCAAUGCUUAGAUAUCACGAAGAACUCCGAUCGCGAAGGCAGCUCACCGGGCCGGAACUGACACUGAUGCUCGAAAGUGCGGGUAUCAAACAGGAUUAGAUACCCUGGUAGUCCGCACAGUAAACGAUGAAUACUCGCUGUUUGCGAUACACUGUAAGCGGCCAAGCGAAAGCGUUAAGUAUUCCACCUGGGGAGUACGCCGGCAACGGUGAAACUCAAAGGAAUUGGCGGGG
Molecule: ribosomal RNA, 393 nt
Filed under: uncultured bacterium
Lineage: Bacteria
Description: partial 16S ribosomal RNA
Rfam family: Bacterial small subunit ribosomal RNA
Source: RNAcentral